RNAcentral lists this ribosomal RNA (297 nucleotides) under Atopobium sp. RNAcentral describes it as "partial 23S ribosomal RNA". It matches the Rfam family "Bacterial large subunit ribosomal RNA", at positions 1 to 305 of the family's 2925-position model. The record is from RNAcentral. Lineage: Bacteria; Bacillati; Actinomycetota; Coriobacteriia; Coriobacteriales; Atopobiaceae.
AAAAGCUAAUAAGGGCACACGGAGGAUGCCUAGGCAGCAACAGCCGAUGAAGGACGUGAUAAGCUGCGAUAAGCUCUGUUGAGGUGCACAUAACCGAAAUAGGCAGAGAUUUCCGAAUGGGGGAACCUAUAUACUAGAAGAGUAUAUGUGAGAAAGGUAAGCUCGAGAACUGAAACAUCUAAGUAGCGGGAGGAAAAGAAAGUAAAAACGAUUCCCUAAGUAGCGGCGAGCGAACGGGGAAAAGCCUAAACCGUGCCAGUGUCAAGCGGACAGCGUUGCUGGCACGGGGUUGCGGGA